UACGUAGGGUGCGAGCGUUAAUCGGAAUUACUGGGCGUAAAGCGCGCGUAGGCGGCUGCGCAAGUCAGAGGUGAAAGCCUGAAGCUCAACUUCAGAAUUGCCUUUGAAACUGUGCAGCUAGAGUAUCGGAGGGGAAGGUGGAAUUGCUAAUGUAGUGGUGAAAUGCGUAGAUAUUAGCAGGAACACCGGUGGCGAAGGCGGCCUUCUGGACGAUUACUGACGCUGAGGCGCGAAAGCGUGGGGAGCAAACAGG
RNAcentral lists this ribosomal RNA (253 nucleotides) under uncultured bacterium. RNAcentral describes it as "partial 16S ribosomal RNA". It matches the Rfam family "Bacterial small subunit ribosomal RNA", at positions 524 to 776 of the family's 1533-position model. The record is from RNAcentral.